Molecule: ribosomal RNA, 296 nt
Organism: Clostridium colicanis DSM 13634
Lineage: Bacteria; Bacillati; Bacillota; Clostridia; Eubacteriales; Clostridiaceae
Rfam family: Bacterial large subunit ribosomal RNA
Source: Rfam
GUUCGGUCCCUAUCCGCCGUGGGCGUAGGAAAUUUGAGAGGAGCUGUCCUUAGUACGAGAGGACCGGGAUGGACUGACCUCUGGUGCACCAGUUGUUCCGCCAGGAGCACAGCUGGGUAGCUAUGUCAGGAAGGGAUAAACGCUGAAAGCAUCUAAGCGUGAAGCCCACCUCAAGAUUAGAUUUCCCAUAGUUUAACUAGUAAGAUCCCUGGAAGACUACCAGGUUGAUAGGUCAGAGGUGUAAGUGCAGUAAUGCAUUAAGCUGACUGAUACUAAUAGAUCGAGGACUUGAUCAA